RNAcentral lists this transfer RNA (75 nucleotides) under Clostridia bacterium. Its description in RNAcentral is "tRNA-Gly". It matches the Rfam family "tRNA". From Rfam's summary of the family: Transfer RNA (tRNA) molecules are approximately 80 nucleotides in length. Their secondary structure includes four short double-helical elements and three loops (D, anti-codon, and T loops). Lineage: Bacteria; Bacillati; Bacillota; Clostridia. The record is from RNAcentral.
GCAGGUGUCGCCUAUCGGUAUGGCGUCAGCUUCCCAAGCUGAUUUUGGCGGGUUCGAUUCCCGUCACCUGCUCCA